RNAcentral lists this long non-coding RNA (2399 nucleotides) under Homo sapiens (human). Its description in RNAcentral is "HSALNT0351809". Lineage: Eukaryota; Metazoa; Chordata; Mammalia; Primates; Hominidae. The record is from RNAcentral.
UGAGACCCUGUCUCAAAAACAACAAAAACAAAACAUUGCUAUAUAUAACAUUGAAAAUUUGGCAUAAAAAAGCAAAGUAGCCCCCAAGAAAGAGGUUUGAAACUAAGUGUUAAGCAUUUACUGAGUCCCUAGACCCACUCCCUCUUUUUAUGAGGCCCUAUGUGGGUCUCAUACAGGCAUUAGAAACAAUCCCAAAUUACUAUUGCUGUGUAACCUCAAAACUGAAGAGCUUAAAACAACAGUAAUUGUUUCACGUCGUGGUUUCUGUGGGUCAGGAUUUGGGAAAGGCUCAAACUUGACAGUUGUAGCUCAAGAGUAUCCUGCACUUGUAGUUGUCAGCUGGAAUAGCACGAGGCUGGCUGGCCAGGCAUCUCCCAAUGUGUGUGGUUACAGGGUCUCUCAGGUGGCCUCUCUGUGGGCUAGUUUGGGCUUCCUCACCACAUGGGUAGCUUCAAAGGUAGAAUUUUUUAUGAGGCGGCUCAGGGCCACCAGCUAGUUGCUCCAACAAAUCAACCAUCAGCAGCACUGCCUUUUAUGACCUAGCCUUGGAAGUCAUCCCAGCAUCACUUUUGUCACAUUAUUCAGUCACCUCUCCAUCUAGAGAAUGUCACAGAUUUUGUUGACAUUUAAAAUUGCCACCUCCCACCUCAAGAAGCCCAGCUGGUGUGGGAGGCAAGACUGGUCCAGACGAUGGCACCAAGACUACCAAAAAUAAGCUGCCCCAGGAAAAAACGGCUGGAGGUGAGUGGUCUGGUGGGAAGAACACUGGACUAGGAUCCUGGCCCUGGCUUCUGUUGUUCCUGAAUAUGGCUCUCUCUCUACUCAAGAAGCGGGUACAGUUUCUGAAUAUUUUUACACCAGACUCAAUUGGCUUUGAUAAGGUGCAGCCCAGAAUCCAGAACUUCAUCCCUUCUUAACUCUCAACAUGGCAGGGCUCUCAGACAGGAAGGAGGGGGCAGACUGGGUGGAUAAAUUUUGACAGCAGGGGCCAGGCUGGCUUUGACUCUGUUGUCCUGGACUGACUCCCUGGGCUCUGCCAGCCCACUCUUCUCCACUGUGGCUGGACAUGGAACCUCCCUCAUGGAGUCUUACCCUGUCCUUUGUCAAGUCGAUUUGGGGUGGGCAAGGGGAAAGACAUUUUUCAAGGAUAAUCAUGCCUGGUCAUUAAGCUAACCUCACAUACUUAUUUGAAGGCAAAUUCUAGUAAUUUUAAGUUAAUUUUUAAGCUCACACAUGCCCUUCCUUCUUUCCCAUUUUGUUUUAUACACAGGAGGUGUUUUGUGGAAAUUUAAAGAAAGCAAAAAGAGCAGGCUGAUUAUAACUUAAAGUGACUCAGCAGGAAAACAGAGUUGUUUGUGGGCAGAAUGAGUGGGAGGAAAAGGCAAGGCAGGCUGGCUUAUAAACCCAUAACCCUUUUAGUUUACACAAAGGACUAAACCUGAUCGAUUUCAACUUGGGUUUCCCUCCACAAGAAGAGUAGAGGUUUCAUGACUCCUGUCAAAUCAUCACUAAGACAACAAAAGUUUGAAUGUCAGGCUCUUGCUCCUUUGCAGCUAGCCCAAGACCAAAGAGCUCCUCAGUGACAAGCACAUCCCCUGUCAAGGUUGCAGGCCCAGAACAAACAGAAAAUCAGACACACACACAGGUGGCCCUCCCCUUAUUUGUCCUUCACUUGAAAGUAGCAAUCCUCAGCCAAGGCAGGAAGGGGCUCAGGGAGGCUUAGGAGAGGGGAGGGAAGAGGAAUACCUGACCUAGGACAAGCUCUGGAGGCACGAAUACAAUGCAGAACUUCAUUCCAUAAACAGCCUCAAAGUGGGCACAGAAAAAAAUGUUUGCCAUCUCUGAGAACUGUGGGUUCCCCAAACCUUCUCAAGCCUUGAAAGAGCUGACAAGCACAAGUGCUACCUGUAAUAGGGGAAAUGUUCUGGGGUUGUUCUUGAUGAGCAAACUCAUCCAGCUGCAGGAGUCAGUCACUGCUCUGGCUGGCUGGCUAUGAAAAGGAAAUUCUUUUCCAUGGCUGUCACUGAAUAAUUCACAGCUCUUGUACUGUGACACUUAGGCCUCAACUUGGGAUAAAAGAAGGGAGAUGCAGUCUGGGGACUGACAAUAGAGUACAGCACACCCACCCCCAGUGCAGUGCCAGGCGCGACGUGCUCCUAGUGCUUUGGUGACCCAGUGGUGAGGCAGCUGGAAGGCAGGAGGCCUGAGGAUGCUCUCACAAUUAACUGGAUGCCCUUCCUGUCUCCGACUUUCCUCUUUCAAACUUCUCAUCUUUCUGCCUUAUCUCUCGGGUCCCCUUAACAUCUAGCUACUGCAGAAGUCACCCAGAGAGAAUCAUACUUGCUUGAAAUGAGCACCCCGUUUUCUUUUUUCUUUUCUUUUUUUCAGACUGAGUCUCG